AUUGAACGCUGGCGGCAUGCUUUACACAUGCUAGUCGAACGGCAGCGCGGGCUUUGGCCUGGCGGCGAGUGGCGAACGGGUGAGUAAUACAUCGGAACGUGCCCAGUAGUGGGGGAUAGCUCGGCGAAAGCCGGAUUAAUACCGCAUACGACCUGAGGGUGAAAGCGGGGGAUCUUCGGACCUCGCGCUAUUGGAGCGGCCGAUGGCGGAUUAGCUAGUUGGUGGGGUAAAGGCCUACCAAGGCGACGAUCUGUAGCUGGUCUGAGAGGACGACCAGCCACACUGGGACUGAGACACGGCCCAGACUCCUACGGGAGGCAGCAGUGGGGAAUUUUGGACAAUGGGCGAAAGCCUGAUCCAGCAAUGCCGCGUGUGUGAUGAAGGCCUUCGGGUUGUAAAGCACUUUUGGCGGGAACGAAAAGGACUGUGCCAAUACCACGGUUCGAUGACGGUACCCGCAGAAUAAGCACCGGCUAACUACGUG
Molecule: ribosomal RNA, 484 nt
Filed under: uncultured bacterium
Lineage: Bacteria
Description: partial 16S ribosomal RNA
Rfam family: Bacterial small subunit ribosomal RNA
Source: RNAcentral